GACGAACGCUGGCGGCGUGCUUAACACAUGCAAGUCGAACGGAGCGAAUGAAAGCUUGCUUUUAUGAGCUUAGUGGCAAACGGGUGAGUAACACGUAGACAACCUGCCGACAGGAUGGGGACAACAUUCCGAAAGGAAUGCUAAUACCGAAUGAAGCGGAGGAGAGGCAUCUCUCCUCCGUGAAAGAUGGCCUCUAUUUAUAAGCUAUCACCUGUCGAUGGGUCUGCGUCUGAUUAGCUGGUUGGUGAGGUAACGGCUCACCAAGGCGACGAUCAGUAGCCGGUCUGAGAGGAUGAACGGCCACAUUGGGACUGAGACACGGCCCAGACUCCUACGGGAGGCAGCAGUGGGGAAUCUUCCGCAAUGGGCGCAAGCCUGACGGAGCAACGCCGCGUGAGUGAAGAAGGUCUUCGGAUCGUAAAGCUCUGUUGACGGGGACGAACGUGCGUGAUGCGAAUAGUGUCAUGCAAUGACG
RNAcentral lists this ribosomal RNA (475 nucleotides) under Centipeda infelix. RNAcentral describes it as "bacterial SSU rRNA". It matches the Rfam family "Bacterial small subunit ribosomal RNA", at positions 28 to 474 of the family's 1533-position model. The record is from RNAcentral. Lineage: Bacteria; Bacillati; Bacillota; Negativicutes; Selenomonadales; Selenomonadaceae.